Long non-coding RNA from Eleginops maclovinus (Patagonian blennie), 839 nucleotides. RefSeq lists it as uncharacterized. NCBI's taxonomy places the organism in Eukaryota, Metazoa, Chordata, Actinopteri, Perciformes, Eleginopidae. The record is from RefSeq and is a predicted model, not a curated record. The transcript is spliced from 2 exons.
AAGAAAUCCAGCCCCUUUUCUUUUGAUAGUGAUGCAAACAAACAAGAUGGCGGCAUUUCAAAAAGGCGGAACAUUUGGGUCUGAGAUACUCUACACGCAGUCCUCCAAACAACCCUGCCCCAACAAGCCGGGAAACUAUCACAAAAGGAGAAAUGAUGGUGCCUAUGCGUUCAGGGUGCAACCCCUAAGCCCAUGUUUCUGAACACGGUAGGAUCAGCUCAGUGAAGAACACAAAGAUGAUGCAUAAAGCAGAAGACACAUCAAUCUUUCCCACUAUGGCUAACACCUGGAUCAUGACAUGCAUGUCUGAAAAAACAAACAAGUCAUUAGACAAGACGUAUACAACUUUACACAGGCAUAUGCCUUUCCUAUUUCCAGAGAUGCUCGAUUCAGUCAAUAUUGUACUUGUUGUGUUACCAGGAGCAUGAUGCCACAUAACAUCAGUGCAGAGCAGAUACAUGUGGGUCGUGGCACACGAUUAACCAGCACUCAAGUGGCUCCAUACACCACAAUGUCAAUAACUGAAAUGAAGCAGGUGAUGUAGCCUAGACAUUUCCAUUUAGGUUACUAGCAUUGAGAGAGAGCCCAAAGAAGACCAUGGAGGUAGCAAUCCUGCAGAAAUACAAGGACGAAAAGGUCUGAAUGAAGGUGAAAUGUUACAUGUUACAGGCACUAUGUUACAUUAAUGCAGUGCUUUCACUUUAACUAUGCUUUAUUGUGUAUUGUGCCCCAGCUCAGGCUGACGACAAGUUCAUUUUACAGUUUUCAAGUUGUUUUUGUUUUAUAAUUAAAGGGACAAUUUGUUAUCCCACUGAAAAUAAAAACAGUUUGGAGAAUGA